This 539-nucleotide long non-coding RNA is filed under the name Amborella trichopoda. RNAcentral describes it as "long non-coding RNA (ATRI_LNC003511)". Lineage: Eukaryota; Viridiplantae; Streptophyta; Magnoliopsida; Amborellales; Amborellaceae. The record is from RNAcentral.
UUAACUUGUAGAUUUUUAAAGGUCUCUCUCUCUCUCUCUAGAUUUCUUAGAUCUUUUUCCCUCAAAAUUUUAUUCACAGGGAUUGGGGUAGUUGCACAUGUUUACCAUGAAUCAAUGAAUUGCACUCUUGGAUGUGCAUAUGUAUGACUGAAAGAACCACUCUCCAGAAAUAAUUUUCAUGUUUGAGUGGAUAUUAUCGCAUACAAAUAUAAGUGGAUAUUAUCAAAUACAAAUCUGUCCCAUAAGAAGCCAUUAACAUAAUAUCUAGCCAAGAAAAAUAAAGUAAUUGUGAACAUUUUUCAUGAGAGAAUUUCAACUACUGGCUCCCAUCCUAAAACUCAACUAAAAGGGAUUGUACAAUAUAAAACCGUUUAUCGUAGUGUCACAAUCACCCCUAGCCAUUCGAUAAGAAAUCAGACGGCUAAAUCUGACAGCUAGGGUUGUAUCAUAAAGCUCUAUAAAAGACUUGAAAUAGUAACUCAAGGAUGCACAUGAUUACAUAUAUUAUACCAAGGCAUGAUAUAAUACUAAAGACAGUU